GAUGAACGCUAGCUACAGGCUUAACACAUGCAAGUCGAGGGGCAGCAUUUCAGUUUGCUUGCAAACUGGAGAUGGCGACCGGCGCACGGGUGAGUAACACGUAUCCAACCUGCCGAUAACUCGGGGAUAGCCUUUCGAAAGAAAGAUUAAUACCCGAUGGCAUAAUUAGACCGCAUGGUCUUAUUAUUAAAGAAUUUCGGUUAUCGAUGGGGAUGCGUUCCAUUAGGCAGUUGGUGAGGUAACGGCUCACCAAACCUUCGAUGGAUAGGGGUUCUGAGAGGAAGGUCCCCCACAUUGGAACUGAGACACGGUCCAAACUCCUACGGGAGGCAGCAGUGAGGAAUAUUGGUCAAUGGGCGCAGGCCUGAACCAGCCAAGUAGCGUGAAGGAUGACUGCCCUAUGGGUUGUAAACUUCUUUUAUAUGGGAAUAAAGUUUUCCACGUGUGGAAUUUUGUAUGUACCAUAUGAAUAAGGAUCGGCUAACUCCGUGCCAGCAGCCGCGGUAAUACGGAGGAUCCGAGCGUUAUCCGGAUUUAUUGGGUUUAAAGGGAGCGUAGGUGGACAGUUAAGUCAGUUGUGAAAGCUUGCGGCUCAACCGUAAAAUUGCAGUUGAUACUGGCUGUCUUGAGUACAGUAGAGGUGGGCGGAAUUCGUGGUGUAGCGGUGAAAUGCUUAGAUAUCACGAAGAACUCCGAUUGCGAAGGCAGCUCACUGGACUGCAACUGACACUGAUGCUCGAAAGUGUGGGUAUCAAACAGGAUUAGAUACCCUGGUAGUCCACACAGUAAACGAUGAAUACUCGCUGUUUGCGAUAUACAGUAAGCGGCCAAGCGAAAGCAUUAAGUAUUCCACCUGGGGGAGUACGCCGGCAACGGUGAAACUCAAAGGAAUUGACGGGGGCCCGCACAAGCGGAGGAACAUGUGGUUUAAUUAGAUGAUACGCGAGGAACCUUACCCGGGCUUAAAUUGCAUUUGAAGAUAUUGGAAACAGUAUAGCCGUAAGGCAAAUGUGAAGGUGCUGCAUGGUUGUCGUCAGCUCGUGCCGUGAGGUGUCGGCUUAAGUGCCAUAACGAGCGCAACCCUUAUCUUUAGUUACUAACAGGUCAUGUUGAGGACUCUAGAGAGACUGCCGUCGUAAGAUGUGAGGAAGGUGGGGAUGACGUCAAAUCAGCACGGCCCUUACGUCCGGGGCUACACACGUGUUACAAUGGGGGGUACAGAAGGCAGCUACCUGGUGACAGGAUGCUAAUCCCAAAAGCCUCUCUCAGUUCGGAUCGAAGUCUGCAACCCGACUUCGUGAAGCUGGAUUCGCUAGUAAUCGCGCAUCAGCCAUGGCGCGGUGAAUACGUUCCCGGGCCU
Molecule: ribosomal RNA, 1360 nt
Filed under: uncultured bacterium
Lineage: Bacteria
Description: bacterial SSU rRNA
Rfam family: Bacterial small subunit ribosomal RNA
Source: RNAcentral